UGGGGAAUCUUGGACAAUGGGGGCAACCCUGAUCCAGCCAUGCCGCGUGAGUGAUGAAGGCCUUAGGGUCGUAAAGCUCUUUCGCCUGUGAAGAUAAUGACGGUAGCAGGUAAAGAAACCCCGGCUAACUCCGUGCCAGCAGCCGCGGUAAUACGGAGGGGGUUAGCGUUGUUCGGAAUUACUGGGCGUAAAGCGCACGUAGGCGGAUCGGAAAGUUGGGGGUGAAAUCCCGGGGGCUCAACCCCGGAACUGCCUCCAAAACUAUCGGUCUAGAGUUCGAGAGAGGUGAGUGGAAUUCCGAGUGUAGAGGUGAAAUUCGUAGAUAUUUGGAGGAACACCAGUGGCGAAGGCGGCUCACUGGCUCGAUACUGACGCUGAGGUGCGAAAGUGUGGGGAGCAAACAGGAUUAGAUACCCUGGUAGUCCACACCGUAAACGAUGAAUGCCAGUCGUCGGGUAGCAUGCUAUUCGGUGACACACCUAACGGAUUAAGCAUUCCGCCUGGGGAGUACGGUCGCAGAUUAAAA
This 526-nucleotide ribosomal RNA is filed under the name uncultured bacterium. Its description in RNAcentral is "bacterial SSU rRNA". It matches the Rfam family "Bacterial small subunit ribosomal RNA", at positions 355 to 899 of the family's 1533-position model. The record is from RNAcentral.